CAGGACUGGAACUUUUGUCUACUCAAGACAUUACCUGAUGGACUGGAGGGGUGUGGAUUAUUGUGAUGUUUUUAUCAGCUGUAUGGACUCUCAUUCUGACGGCACCCAUUCACUGCAGAGCAUCCAUUGCUGAGCAAGUGAUGGAAAGCAUUUCUCCAAAUCUGAUGAAGAAACGCACUCAUCUACAUCUUGGAUGACCUGAGGGCAGAAGCACUCUGACAGACAGCAAAUAAUACAGAGCGGCCACAUUUGCUUUUCCCAGGACUGUGUGUGUCACUGUGUCAGGGGAAACCGUGACCCCAAUUUUCUUUGUAUGCAUUUGAAAGCGAGUUUUGUGUCAAUAUGAGUCUUUGCACCAAAACAUAUUUGACACUUGAGUCACACUUAAAAAUGUCUGUAUGUCAUUGCAUUAGUUCACAAAAAAAAUCAAAGCAAGUGUCAGUGGUUGUAAAAAAGGAUGCUUAAUAACACUUUAUACUUAAUUUGUAUGGUUUGGAUUGAUAACUAAUAAAUGUA
This is a long non-coding RNA of Onychostoma macrolepis, 516 nucleotides long. RefSeq lists it as uncharacterized. The transcript has 3 exons. Lineage: Eukaryota; Metazoa; Chordata; Actinopteri; Cypriniformes; Cyprinidae. The record is from RefSeq and is a predicted model, not a curated record.